GACGAACGCUGGCGGCGUGCCUAACACAUGCAAGUCGAACGGAAAGGCCCUGCUUUUUUGGGGUUCUCGAGUGGGGAACGGGUGAGUAACACGUGUGUAACCUACUCUUGACUUUGGGAUAACUUCAGGAAACUAGGGCUAAUACCGUAUAGGAGCUCCUGCUGCAUGGUGGGGGUGGGAAAGUUUCGGCGGGCGGGGUUGGAUGCGCGGCUUAUCAGCUUGUUGGUGGGGUAGUGGCUUACCAAGGCUUUGGCGGGUAGCCGGCCUGGGAGCGUGGCCGGCGACAUGGGGACUAAGAGAGGGCGCAGACGGGUAUGUGGGACAAUGGGGGCGAGUCUGGCACAGUGAGAGGGAGCGUGAGAAGGAAGCGCCCGGUGCGGAAAGACGGUUUUCGGGGUGUGAACCGCUUUAGGUUGUGACGAAGCGUGAGUGACGGUAAUGGGUAAAGAAGCACCGGCUAACUACGUG
Molecule: ribosomal RNA, 468 nt
Filed under: uncultured bacterium
Lineage: Bacteria
Description: partial 16S ribosomal RNA
Rfam family: Bacterial small subunit ribosomal RNA
Source: RNAcentral